GUUCGAGCAUGUGUGCCUCUCUUCUUGGGAAGCUCCCUCGACCCCAUGAACCCCUUGACCUCAAAAUCGGGUGAGACUACCCGCUGAACUUAAGCAUAUCAAUAAGCGGAGGAAAAGAAACUAACAAGGAUUCCCCUAGUAACUGCGAGUGAAGCGGGAAAAGC
Molecule: ribosomal RNA, 164 nt
Filed under: uncultured ectomycorrhiza (Basidiomycota)
Lineage: Eukaryota; Fungi; Basidiomycota
Description: partial 28S ribosomal RNA
Rfam family: Eukaryotic large subunit ribosomal RNA (bases 56-164)
Source: RNAcentral